UACGUAGGGUGCGAGCGUUAAUCGGAAUCACUGGGCGUAAAGGGCGUGUAGGCGGGAAGGAAAGUCAGAUGUGAAAUCCCUGGGCUCAACCCAGGAACUGCAUUUGAAACUCCCUUUCUUGAGUGUCGGAGAGGAAAGUGGAAUUCCUGGUGUAGAGGUGAAAUUCGUAGAUAUCAGGAGGAACACCGGUGGCGAAGGCGGCUUUCUGGACGACAGCUGACGCUGAGACGCGAAAGCGUGGGGAGCAAACAGG
This 253-nucleotide ribosomal RNA is filed under the name uncultured bacterium. RNAcentral describes it as "partial 16S ribosomal RNA". It matches the Rfam family "Bacterial small subunit ribosomal RNA", at positions 524 to 776 of the family's 1533-position model. The record is from RNAcentral.